RNAcentral lists this ribosomal RNA (406 nucleotides) under uncultured bacterium. RNAcentral describes it as "partial 16S ribosomal RNA". It matches the Rfam family "Bacterial small subunit ribosomal RNA", at positions 29 to 526 of the family's 1533-position model. The record is from RNAcentral.
AUUGAACGCUGGCGGCAGGCCUAACACAUGCAAGUCGAGCGAGCGGCGGACGGGUGAGUAAUGUCUGGGAAACUGCCUGAUGGAGGGGGGUAACUACUGGAAACGGUAGCUAUUACCCCACACCACCAGAUGUGCCCAGAUGGGAUUAGCGAGUGGGUGGGGUAAUGGCUCACCUAGGCGACGAUCCCUAGCUGGUCUGAGAGGAUGACCAGCCACACUGGAACUGAGACACGGUCCAGACUCCUACGGGAGGCAGCAGUGGGGAAUAUUGCACAAUGGGCGCAAGCCUGAUGCAGCCAUGCCGCGUGUGGGAAGAAGGCCUUCGGGUUGUAAAGCACUUUCAGCGGGGAGGCGUUACCCGCAGAAGAAGCACCGGCUAACUCCGUGCCAGCAGCCGCGGUAAUAC